This 166-nucleotide unclassified non-coding RNA is filed under the name uncultured Sporidiobolales. RNAcentral describes it as "sequence contains ITS1". Lineage: Eukaryota; Fungi; Basidiomycota; Microbotryomycetes; Sporidiobolales. The record is from RNAcentral.
GUGAAUUUAGGGUAGCUACUUGUAGCACCCGACCUCCACUUCUAACACUGUGCACUUAUUGGCAAAGUUACCACUGUGAAGGCGGCGUCAAGCUACUGGAUCUCGGUUCUUUGCGGCUUUAUUUUAUAACUCCAAGUUAAAGAAUGUAAACCAAAUAAAAACAAAA